AGGCCCACGCGUCCCCCCGGUCAUGAGCGCGCCAUCCACGCCCACCUUACGACUGCGCGCUUCGUUCUGUUGGCC
RNAcentral lists this small RNA (75 nucleotides) under Xanthomonas sp. 3793. Its description in RNAcentral is "sRNA sX9". It matches the Rfam family "Xanthomonas sRNA sX9". Lineage: Bacteria; Pseudomonadati; Pseudomonadota; Gammaproteobacteria; Lysobacterales; Lysobacteraceae. The record is from RNAcentral.